CCAUGCAUUUGAGGACGCGAUCAAUGCCUACUUGGAAUACUGCGAGGGGCGCUGUUAGCGCUUGAUCGAGGCUGCCAUGGGCACUGUCCGCGCCGCCUCCCCGUCUCUGUCGCCAAACCCCCAUCGUUGCCGAGGACUCGUCAUGUGCCUCUGCCCGAGGCCAGCCCGAUGUCUUGCGGUCACCGCCAAAAAGAAAGAGACGCAAGCCGCUGGGACGAUGCUGUGUGCACAAACGACAAACUACACAAACGGCAUGCUGGUCAUUUUCUCGGCAAUGUUUCCA
RNAcentral lists this long non-coding RNA (283 nucleotides) under Pandoravirus neocaledonia. RNAcentral's name for it is "hypothetical ncRNA". The record is from RNAcentral.